RNAcentral lists this ribosomal RNA (253 nucleotides) under uncultured bacterium. Its description in RNAcentral is "partial 16S ribosomal RNA". It matches the Rfam family "Bacterial small subunit ribosomal RNA", at positions 524 to 776 of the family's 1533-position model. The record is from RNAcentral.
UACGGAGGGUGCAAGCGUUGUUCGGAAUCAUUGGGCGUAAAGCGCGUGUAGGCGGCUUGGUAAGUCGGGAGUGAAAUCCCGGGGCCCAACCCCGGAACUGCAUUCGAAACUGCCUGGCUAGAGUCCCGGAGAGGAAGGCGGAAUUCCCGGUGUAGAGGUGAAAUUCGUAGAUAUCGGGAGGAACACCAGCGGCGAAGGCGGCCCUCUGGACGGUGGCUGACGCUGAGACGCUAAAGCGUGGGGAGCAAUCAGG